This 548-nucleotide long non-coding RNA is filed under the name Mus spicilegus (steppe mouse). RNAcentral's name for it is "lncRNA (ENSMSIG00000026390.1)". Lineage: Eukaryota; Metazoa; Chordata; Mammalia; Rodentia; Muridae. The record is from RNAcentral.
GCACGCUCUAAUCUCUCCUCCACUGAUUGGGAGACGCUGUUUAUCACCUGAAUGAACAUGAAUCAGCCCUGUCUGUUUUAUGCUGAAGCAUCUAAAAUCUUCAGUUCCUCCAUAAUGACCAGAGAGUCAGCCUGAAGCUCUCCCAAUGCCUCCUCCAGGGAACAGCUCUCCUGGGCCCAUCUACGCCAGGCUGUGGUGCAUGAUUCCUCAUUAACAGAUGUGAAGAGCUCAGAGAAGAAAAAGGCUGGAAUAAAGAUGGUUGGAUCCAAGCGCUUUGUGUGCAGCCAACACAGAGAAAGCCAUGUGCUGAGACACAGCUACCCAGAAAGGAGCCCCAAUCCCAUAAAGAGCCAAAAAUAACAACAAAACAAUAGCAAGAAUCUUGGCUUUCAACACAGGACACACUUCCUGCUCAGAACACUUGAAAAAUCCAUCUAGAAACAGCAUUUGGCAUUCGUGGGGUCAGCUGAAGCCACGUUCAAUGCUGCAGGCCUGAGGUGGAAAGGCUGAAGCCCAGAUUCCAGCCGCUGCCCAGGCUCGGCUCCUGC